Long non-coding RNA from Leopardus geoffroyi (Geoffroy's cat), 218 nucleotides. RefSeq lists it as uncharacterized. The record is from RefSeq and is a predicted model, not a curated record. NCBI's taxonomy places the organism in Eukaryota, Metazoa, Chordata, Mammalia, Carnivora, Felidae. The transcript is spliced from 2 exons.
CUUCUGUUGGGGAGCACGUGUUUUGACUCAUAGCCCAUCCAGCCCCAAAUUUGUCUGUGGCGUGCCUGAUGCUCCCAGGAAGUUAGUACACAAACACUGCUUAACGGUGGAGUUGGGGACUUAAGACAAUCUGCCUUCAAACACAAAGCUUUUCCUACUGCAAUGCAGCUGUUGUGAGCAGCUGCUGAAAUAAAAGAGCGUUGUGCUCUGCAACUCGG